Molecule: ribosomal RNA, 468 nt
Filed under: uncultured bacterium
Lineage: Bacteria
Description: partial 16S ribosomal RNA
Rfam family: Bacterial small subunit ribosomal RNA
Source: RNAcentral
GACGAACGCUGGCGGCGUGCUUAACACAUGCAAGUCGAACGGAAAGGCCCUGCUUUUGUGGGGUGCUCGAGUGGCGAACGGGUGAGUAACACGUGAGUAACCUGCCCUUGACUUUGGGAUAACUUCAGGAAAAUGGGGCUAAUACCGGAUAGGAGCUCCUGCUGCAUGGUGGGGGUUGGAAAGUUUCGGCGGUUGGGGAUGGACUCGCGGCUUAUCAGCUUGUUGGUGGGGUAGUGGAUUACCAAGGCUUUGACGGGUAGCCGGCCUGAGAGGGUGACCGGCCACAUUGGGACUGAGAUACGGCCCAGACUCCUACGGGAGGCAGCAGUGGGGAAUAUUGCACAAUGGGCGGAAGCCUGAUGCAGCAACGCCGCGUGCGGGAUGACGGCCUUCGGGUUGUAAACCGCUUUCGCCUGUGACGAAGCGUGAGUGACGGUAAUGGGUAAAGAAGCACCGGCUAACUACGUG